Vicia faba (fava bean) is the source of this 303-nucleotide non-coding RNA. The record is from the annotation of a GenBank genome assembly. NCBI's taxonomy places the organism in Eukaryota, Viridiplantae, Streptophyta, Magnoliopsida, Fabales, Fabaceae.
AUGAAAUACACAAGAAAUUGCAGGAAAAAAGGGAUGAGAAACAGAUCAAAAUCCGAGAAUAUUGUCGGAAAACCCCCACUGAAAAAUGUCACAACGUUAUCACCGAGCCAUCACACCCAGAUCUACAUCUCCCUAACCUCGAACAUCCACCGUCUUCAAUCGAGUUGCGGCUUCAACCGCCACCUGUGUUAUUACCGCUCCCACAAGCGAAUGACCUUCACGAUGCAAGGAGAAAUAGGAUCCGCUAGAAAGCUUUGUUUUGUCAAAAGAAAAAGGAGAAGUUUUGAGAGAAAAGGAAAGUAG